RNAcentral lists this ribosomal RNA (459 nucleotides) under uncultured bacterium. RNAcentral's name for it is "partial 16S ribosomal RNA". It matches the Rfam family "Bacterial small subunit ribosomal RNA", at positions 338 to 795 of the family's 1533-position model. The record is from RNAcentral.
CCUACGGGUGGCAGCAGUGAGGAAUAUUGGUCAAUGGCCGGGAGGCUGAACCAGCCAAGUCGCGUGAGGGAAGACGGCCCUACGGGUUGUAAACCUCUUUUGUCAGGGAGCAAGGUGCAGGUCGGGACCUGCUGUGAGAGUACCUGAAGAAAAAGCAUCGGCUAACUCCGUGCCAGCAGCCGCGGUAAUACGGAGGAUGCGAGCGUUAUCCGGAUUUCUUGGGUUUAAAGGGUGCGCAGGCGGAGGCACAAGUCAGCGGUAAAAUCGCGGGGCUCAACCCCGCUCCGCCGUUGACACUGUGUCCGUUGAGUGCGCGAAGGGUAGGCGGAAUGCCUGGUGUAGCGGUGAAAUGCAUAGAUAGCACGAAGAACACCGAUCGAGAAGGCGGCCUCCGGGCGAGCAACUGACGCUCAGGCACGAAAGCGUGGGUAUCGAACAGGAUUAGAGACCCCAGUAGUG